GCGAUACAGGGUGACAGCCCCGUACACAAAAAUGCACAUGCUGUGAGCUCGAUGAGUAGGGCGGGACACGUGGUAUCCUGUCUGAAUAUGGGGGGACCAUCCUCCAAGGCUAAAUACUCCUGACUGACCGAUAGUGAACCAGUACCGUGAGGGAAAGGCGAAAAGAACCCCGGCGAGGGGAGUGAAAAAGAACCUGAAACCGUGUACGUACAAGCAGUGGGAGCCUCUUAAUGGGGUGACUGCGUACCUUUUGUAUAAUGGGUCAGCGACUUAUAUUCUGUAGCAAGGUUAACCGAAUAGGGGAGCCGAAGGGAAACCGAGUCUUAACUGGGCGUUAAGUUGCAGGGUAUAGACCCGAAACCCGGUGAUCUAGCCAUGGGCAGGUUGAAGGUUGGGUAACACUAACUGGAGGACCGAACCGACUAAUGUUGAAAAAUUAGCGGAUGACUUGUGGCUGGGGGUGAAAGGCCAAUCAAACCGGGAGAUAGCUGGUUCUCCCCGAAAGCUAUUUAGGUAGCGCCUCGUGAAUUCAUCUCCGGGGGUAGAGCACUGUUUCGGCAAGGGGGUCAUCCCGACUUACCAACCCGAUGCAAACUGCGAAUACCGGAGAAUGUUAUCACGGGAGACACACGGCGGGUGCUAACGUCCGUCGUGAAGAGGGAAACAACCCAGACCGCCAGCUAAGGUCCCAAAGUCAUGGUUAAGUGGGAAACGAUGUGGGAAGGCCCAGACAGCCAGGAUGUUGGCUUAGAAGCAGCCAUCAUUUAAAGAAAGCGUAAUAGCUCACUGGUCGAGUCGGCCUGCGCGGAAGAUGUAACGGGGCUAAACCAUGCACCGAAGCUGCGGCAGCGACACUAUGUGUUGUUGGGUAGGGGAGCGUUCUGUAAGCCUGUGAAGGUGUGCUGUGAGGCAUGCUGGAGGUAUCAGAAGUGCGAAUGCUGACAUAAGUAACGAUAAAGCGGGUGAAAAGCCCGCUCGCCGGAAGACCAAGGGUUCCUGUCCAACGUUAAUCGGGGCAGGGUGAGUCGACCCCUAAGGCGAGGCCGAAAGGCGUAGUCGAUGGGAAACAGGUUAAUAUUCCUGUACUUGGUGUUACUGCGAAGGGGGGACG
RNAcentral lists this ribosomal RNA (1111 nucleotides) under Escherichia coli. Its description in RNAcentral is "partial 23S ribosomal RNA". It matches the Rfam family "Bacterial large subunit ribosomal RNA", at positions 354 to 1474 of the family's 2925-position model. The record is from RNAcentral. Lineage: Bacteria; Pseudomonadati; Pseudomonadota; Gammaproteobacteria; Enterobacterales; Enterobacteriaceae.